RNAcentral lists this long non-coding RNA (482 nucleotides) under Vigna radiata. Its description in RNAcentral is "long non-coding RNA (VRAD_LNC015173)". Lineage: Eukaryota; Viridiplantae; Streptophyta; Magnoliopsida; Fabales; Fabaceae. The record is from RNAcentral.
AAAUAUUAUACCCUUUUUGAACCUUAGACUUAAACAGGAUGUGAACCCUUGUCUUGAAAUUCUUUACCUUGAGUUGGGAUGAGCUUAACUGUAUGUGAUGAAAAGGUUCAAGUUUGGGGUUGCAUGGGGGAAAUUGUAAAGCUUUUAAGAAGCAUUGAGCUCAAUUGUUGAAAAAGAAAAAUGCAUGUGAAAAAGAAAAAAAUAAGAAAAAGCAUGAAGAUGAGCUCAAUGAAAAAGAAAAGGAAAAAAAAAAGUUAGGAAUGAGUGAGAUUGGUGAGGAAGAGAGUUGUGCUUAAAUGUUGAAUACUAUGAUAGCUCUCUUGACUCAAGGAUUUUGCAUUCCAGAAAAACCAAUUCUUCUCGUUAGCCCAACCUCAUUACAAGCCUUAGAAAAGUCCUUUUGAUGACAUUUGCAUGUAAAGAUGUUGAUUGUUUGAGAUGAAUGGCAAUUUUAUUUCUUGUGACUUGUGAAUGAUAGAGAG